UCAGGUGCCUUUGGAUUUAGUGGGUUCACAAAUACAUACACAUGGUUGGAGCCUGAAGCAUAGAAUUAUUGAGAUUUUAAAAAUCUUUGUAUUUAUUAGUAAAUGUGUUCCUAUGGCAAUUAUAAAAAAAUAAGUCAAUUCCCUGAAUUAAUAAUCCAAUAAUUCAUACAAAGAAAGAUCAAUUAUCAGAACAGAACUCAAAGUCACAGUUAGUUAGACUCCUUCAGUUGUAGAGCGACUAUGGUUCAUCUUGAACACUUUUUCAUGUGGUUGUGGAGCCCUAUUUUGAAGAGACAUUCCUGUCCACAAAUAUUGCAGGUUAAGGUGGCUUUCGCUUUGGUGGUGGAGGAGCUGGCCAUUUUUCGCAUGGCUCGCUUUCUUCCAGAGCUGAGGCCUAUGUUCUUUCGCUGUCCAUAGCUUUCUUGGUCACUGUCUCUUUCUCUAUCUAGUGUGGUCUAGGGCUAUGUCUUCCCAAUGGUCACAACUAAUCAAUCAAAAAGCCACUAAUUAGUGCUAGUAUUUAUUAUUAUUAUUAUUAUUAUUUUGGUUAAUGAAUCUCCAUUUACUUUACCAUGCUCAGAGUGCUUAGUCCAAUAUCUUUGGUGGACAUGUUGGGAGGGGGGGGGGGGGGGGAGGUAGCUUGGUAAAGGUUUCUGUGUUACUUUUAGUUACUCAGCAAUACAAUGCAUCUCAAUUAAAAUCAUAAAAAAUUCUUAUCUCCAGCAUGAUUCAGUUAGAUAGCCAAGCAAUUAAUGCAAUAAGCUGCAUGAUCCAAAUGAAAUAAUUAGCCACAAGCACAUACAGAAUUUUGUAAUACUAUUUCUAACUGUGACAAGAUAGCAAGAUAGACAUAACCUGACUGAAUUUUGUAAACAAAUAAAAAGACAUUUAAUUCUAUAAGUACCAAUAGAGAAUAAAAAAAAUAUCAUUUUCACUAACCAAAGAUGAUUCUGUCCAUGUGUUCUAGAGUUCUAGGCCCUGUAAUUAGACUGCCGUUAACUCUUGUCUUAGCUCCAUCAGAACCUGGCUUCAAUGUAAUACUUCCCUUUUCUUGACUUAUUAUUGCAUGUUUCUUUUGAAUGCUUAAGUUGGAAAGAAUUGUACAAAAAUCUGUGUUUUUAAGAUUGCUUAAAAAAAAUCACAAAAUUAGCUUUUUUUUAAAAUCAGUAAAUGUAGAAACAAUUCAGGACAGGAGUCUAAAAAGUAAAGUAGCAAUAAUAUAUAAAACACUGAAUUAUAACUUACAAACAUAAAAAAACAUAAGCUCAAUGACCACUAAACAUGAUGCUGAAAAGCAAAAUAUCAAUUCUCAUACUGUCCAGUGGGAAGUUGAAGAAAGAGCUCAGGCUUAUCAUCAAAAUUCCAUGAUUUUAACAUUCCCAAUGGAGAAGUCACAAUACAAACAGGAUUUAUAUUUCACAUAGAAAGCAAAUAAACAAUUAAUGUUAUUCAAAGGAAAACAUAAAGUGCUAUCUGUGUAGUAGAUGGCCACAAGGAGCUAAAAAAAUACAUUUGCAACAGAAAUGAUUUGGACAUGUUGUCCUUGGAGAAAAGUAUUCCUCAGGUUUUGGUUGACAGAAUUGGUAGAAGAAACCUCCAUUAGAAAUGCUAUAAUAUCAUAUGAAAGAAUUAACAUCCAUUUGACAUGCAAUAUUUUGCUUCUGACUGGAUGAAUUAAAGAUUCUGGUUACAUUGGAUGUGAAUUGAAGAUUCUACAUUACAUUGGGUGUGUACAUUCUCACACAAGUCUCACAAGUAAGGCAAGUAAAAAAACUAAUGAAGAAAUAAAUGAAAGCGCACCACAUUACUUAGCAUGUUCAAAUAGUGUUAGAUAAUUAAUAACCUUUGGCUUUUGGUGUUCAUGAAAACUUGAGACCAAUUGAAAAGAGAGUUUAGGACCAUAUCGAAUAACCAUACAAGUUUAAAACCAAGGAUUUAGGUUUUGUAGGCCUACUAAACCACUUAAUCAAAUUGCCCCUCCCCCAUUUACAAUAAAUGUAUUACUGGUUGUAAACAUGGGUUGAGACUGUGCACUAGCCUAACCUUAAUCCAUUCAAAACAAUGUCAGGGUUGCCACUCUUGCAGCCUAUAACUGUUGUAGCCCCAUUCAGAAACAGACACACCACUCCUGACAACAUUGGGUCCUCAUUUAAGUUCAUCAGGUGAGGUUCUUUGUUCUUCCUUGCAAUCUCUCUGUUUUCUUCUUUAGCAAUGGCAUCUGUUUCAUUUCUAGCUGCUGAGAGCUGUUGAAGAAUGAUAAAUAACAAUUAAGUUAGCUAGCAGGUUUGUUAGAUAUUAAAGUAUUCGUUAAAUGACACUUUGAAUUACAGCAGUCAAAAUGUGUUCACAGAAGGCUGUCAUCACAAUGGUCAGAGUCUGAACCCCGUGUGCUUCCAUUCCCACGCUGUCCUGUAGGAGAUUUGGGCUGUAAUGUAAUAAUCUUUACUUCUGAAGGAAUCACAGAAAUUUAUAAAUCAUGAGUGAAUCAUGAAUAAGGAACAAGAAUUGAAUGAAAUUGAUUUAGACUAGGGAGAUUGAGAGAAUAAUAGAAACAACUAAUUGAUGUAGGCUGUCCCUCCUUAUGUUCAGUCAUUAGGGAAUAAUAAAAACUACUAAUUGAUGUAGGCUGUGCAUCUUUAUGUUCAGUCAUUAGGGAAUAAUAGAAACAACUAAUUGAUGUAGGCUGUCCAUCCUUAUGUUCAGUCAUUAGGGAAUAAUAGAAACAACUAAUUGAUGUAGGCUGUCCAUCCUUAUGUUCAGUCAUUAGGGAAUAAUAGAAACAACUAAUUGAUGUAGGCUGUCCAUCCUUAUGUUCAGUCAUUGGGGAAUAAUAGAAACUACUAAUUGAUGUAGGCUGUCCAUCUUUAUGUUCAGUCAUUAGGGAAUAAUAGAAAAUACUAAUUGAAGUAGGCUGUCCAUCUUUAUGUUCAGUCAUUAGGAAAUAAUAGAAACAACUAAUUGAUGUAGGCUGUCCAUCCUUAUGUUCAGUUAUUAUAUGUGUUUCACAUUUUCUAGCACAUUAUUGGUUGUGUUUUCUCUUUAAUUCUUUGUCUUCCACUGGAAGCAGAAUG
Biomphalaria pfeifferi is the source of this 3071-nucleotide non-coding RNA. The record is from the annotation of a GenBank genome assembly. NCBI's taxonomy places the organism in Eukaryota, Metazoa, Mollusca, Gastropoda, Planorbidae.